AUUGAACGCUGGCGGCAUGCUUUACACAUGCAAGUCGAACGGUAACAGGCCGCAAGGUGCUGACGAGUGGCGAACGGGUGAGUAAUGCAUCGGAACGUGCCCAGUCGUGGGGGAUAACUACUCGAAAGAGUAGCUAAUACCGCAUACGAUCUAUGGAUGAAAGCGGGGGACCGUAAGGCCUCGCGCGAUUGGAGCGGCCGAUGUCAGGUUAGGUAGUUGGUGGGGUAAAGGCUCACCAAGCCAACGAUCUGUAGCUGGUCUGAGAGGACGACCAGCCAAACCGGGACUGAGACGCGGCCCAGGCUCCUACGGGAGGCAGCAGUGGGGAAUUUUGGACAAUGGGCGCAAGCCUGAUCCAGCAAUGCCGCGUGCAGGAAGAAGGCCUUCGGGUUGUAAACUGCUUUUGUACGGAACGAAACGGCUCUGGUUAAUACCCGGGGCUAAUGACGGUACCGUAAGAAUAAGCACCGGCUAACUACGUG
This 482-nucleotide ribosomal RNA is filed under the name uncultured bacterium. Its description in RNAcentral is "partial 16S ribosomal RNA". It matches the Rfam family "Bacterial small subunit ribosomal RNA", at positions 30 to 507 of the family's 1533-position model. The record is from RNAcentral.